AACUUUGUGUAAUGGCGGUAUUGUAACCAAUGAGGUUUAUCUGAGGCACAAUUAUUGUUAACUGAAGAAGAAAGAAACCGUGC
RNAcentral lists this small nuclear RNA (83 nucleotides) under Carlito syrichta (Philippine tarsier). RNAcentral describes it as "U4 spliceosomal RNA (ENSTSYG00000024038.2)". The stretch from base 1 to 69 matches the Rfam family "U4 spliceosomal RNA". Rfam says of the family: U4 small nuclear RNA (U4 snRNA) is a component of the major U2-dependent spliceosome. The structure of U4 snRNA from yeast and human has been reported. Lineage: Eukaryota; Metazoa; Chordata; Mammalia; Primates; Tarsiidae. The record is from RNAcentral.